CCUGAAUUACGACAAGCCUAAUACAUGCAGUCGAGCGAUGAUUACCAGAUAGCUUGCUAUUUUUAUGAAGAGCGGCGAACGGGUGAGUAACGCGUGGGAAAUCUGCCGAGUAGCGGGGGACAACGUUUGGAAACGAACGCUAAUACCGCAUAACAAUGAGAAUCGCAUGAUUCUUAUUUGAAAGAAGCAAUUGCUUCACUACUUGAUGAUCCCGCGUUGUAUUAGCUAGUUGGUAGUGUAAAGGACUACCAAGGCGAUGAUACAUAGCCGACCUGAGAGGGUGAUCGGCCACACUGGGACUGAGACACGGCCCAGACUCCUACGGGAGGCAGCAGUAGGGAAUCUUCGGCAAUGGGGGCAACCCUGACCGAGCAACGCCGCGUGAGUGAAGAAGGUUUUCGGAUCGUAAAACUCUGUUGUUAGAGAAGAACGUUAAGUAGAGUGGAAAAUUACUUAAGUGACGGUAUCUAACCAGAAAGGGACGGCUAACUACGUGCCAGCAGCCGCGGUAAUACGUAGGUCCCAAGCGUUGUCCGGAUUUAUUGGGCGUAAAGCGAGCGCAGGUGGUUUCUUAAGUCUGAUGUAAAAGGCAGUGGCUCAACCAUUGUGUGCAUUGGAAACUGGGAGACUUGAGUGCAGGAGAGGAGAGUGGAAUUCCAUGUGUAGCGGUGAAAUGCGUAGAUAUAUGGAGGAACACCGGAGGCGAAAGCGGCUCUCUGGCCUGUAACUGACACUGAGGCUCGAAAGCGUGGGGAGCAAACAGGAUUAGAUACCCUGGUAGUCCACGCCGUAAACGAUGAGUGCUAGCUGUAGGGAGCUAUAAGUUCUCUGUAGCGCAGCUAACGCAUUAAGCACUCCGCCUGGGGAGUACGACCGCAAGGUUGAAACUCAAAGGAAUUGACGGGGGCCCGCACAAGCGGUGGAGCAUGUGGUUUUAAUUCGAAGCAACGCGAAGAACCUUACCAGGUCUUGACAUACUCGUGCUAUCCUUAGAGAUAAGGAGUUCCUUCGGGACACGGGAUACAGUGGGUGCAUGUUGUCGUCAGCCUCGUGUCCUGAGAUGUUGGGUUAGUCCCGCAACAAGCGCCACCCCUAUUACUAGUGGCAUCAUUAGUGGCUCUAGUGGACUGCGUGUAUACCCGGAGGAAGGUGGGAUGACCUCAAUCAUCAUGCCAUAUGACCCUGGCUACACUGUCCAAUGAUGUCACGAUCGCAUCGCGAGGGUCGCACUCUGAACACGUCGCGUCUGGAUUG
This 1254-nucleotide ribosomal RNA is filed under the name Lactococcus formosensis. RNAcentral's name for it is "bacterial SSU rRNA". It matches the Rfam family "Bacterial small subunit ribosomal RNA", at positions 30 to 1300 of the family's 1533-position model. The record is from RNAcentral. Lineage: Bacteria; Bacillati; Bacillota; Bacilli; Lactobacillales; Streptococcaceae.